This 452-nucleotide ribosomal RNA is filed under the name uncultured organism. RNAcentral's name for it is "partial 16S ribosomal RNA". It matches the Rfam family "Bacterial small subunit ribosomal RNA", at positions 329 to 797 of the family's 1533-position model. The record is from RNAcentral.
ACGUACACUCCUACGGGAGGCAGCAGUGGGGAAUAUUGGACAAUGGGCGCAAGCCUGAUCCAGCCAUGCCGCGUGAGUGAUGAAGGCCCUAGGGUUGUAAAGCUCUUUUGUGCGGGAAGAUAAUGACGGUACCGCAAGAAUAAGCCCCGGCUAACUUCGUGCCAGCAGCCGCGGUAAUACGAAGGGGGCUAGCGUUGCUCGGAAUCACUGGGCGUAAAGGGUGCGUAGGCGGGUCUUUAAGUCAGGGGUGAAAUCCUGGAGCUCAACUCCAGAACUGCCUUUGAUACUGAAGAUCUUGAGUUCGGGAGAGGUGAGUGGAACUGCGAGUGUAGAGGUGAAAUUCGUAGAUAUUCGCAAGAACACCAGUGGCGAAGGCGGCUCACUGGCCCGAUACUGACGCUGAGGCACGAAAGCGUGGGGAGCAAACAGGAUUAGAAACCCGAGUAGUCCCA